UUUUUGUAAGGUCCUGAGAAACCUAAAAACUUUUGAUUUCACUUUGAAUUUCUUAUCUGAUCAUUCACAAUCAUAAUCGAUUUGUAACCUUGUUACGAUUCUCAUCAUUUUGAACUAAUACCUACGAAUCAUUUCGAAAACAUUUCAUCACCAAGUUUUAGGGUUUAUCGUUGUGAUUCAACUGAUCUAUUAAUCGUUUGAUCCGAUUUUAAAAUUGAUUUCAGAUUCGUAAUUAGUGAAUCUAAAUCUACAUCACCCAUCUGAUGUUUUUGAACGGGAACUACUUUCGGAUUUGGACCUAUUUAGAAUUUAUCUGUUAUUAAUUUAUUUUCAUAGCUUUCCUGCUAUUGCAACAAGAUAAUAUGGUUUUCAACCUCUGAUUCUUGAUAACUAACGCAGAGAACUUUCCUUGGCUGUUCCCGGAUAUGUUCUUAAGUUACAUCUUUUUAGAAACCUCAGUCAAAGUUUUAAAUGCAACCAACUCAAUUAAAGGGGAAAUACAAGUAGACUAUGAGAUAGAUUGAUCUGAUGGAGAAGAGGGUGGUUAUGGCAGAGUCGAUGCUGGAGGGUACAUUACAGUACCAAUCUGGUCAAGCUAAGUGUUCAAAUCCAUCAAGAAUGCUAUUGAAUCCAUUGAAAGGGCUGUAGAGCAUGGAAUAAUGAAUUUUCUUAUUUCGUCAGAUUCUACAAUGC
Papaver somniferum (opium poppy) is the source of this 693-nucleotide long non-coding RNA. RefSeq lists it as uncharacterized. The transcript is spliced from 3 exons. Lineage: Eukaryota; Viridiplantae; Streptophyta; Magnoliopsida; Ranunculales; Papaveraceae. The record is from RefSeq and is a predicted model, not a curated record.